RNAcentral lists this ribosomal RNA (253 nucleotides) under uncultured bacterium. RNAcentral's name for it is "partial 16S ribosomal RNA". It matches the Rfam family "Bacterial small subunit ribosomal RNA", at positions 524 to 776 of the family's 1533-position model. The record is from RNAcentral.
UACGUAGGGGGCUAGCGUUGUCCGGAAUCAUUGGGCGUAAAGAGCGUGUAGGCGGCCCGGUAAGUCCGCUGUGAAAGUCGGGGGCUCAACCCUCGAAUGCCGGUGGAUACUGUCGGGCUAGAGUGCGGAAGAGGCGAGUGGAAUUCCUGGUGUAGCGGUGAAAUGCGCAGAUAUCAGGAAGAACACCCGUGGCGACGGCGGCUCUCUGGAACGCAACUGACGCUGAGACGCGAAAGCGUGGGGAGCAAACAGG